This is a long non-coding RNA of Monodelphis domestica (gray short-tailed opossum), 2114 nucleotides long. The record is from Ensembl. Lineage: Eukaryota; Metazoa; Chordata; Mammalia; Didelphimorphia; Didelphidae.
CGCCCGCCCCGGACUUCACACCCGGAUCCCGCCCGAGCUCCCCACCCCGCCCUGGCCGUCCCCACCAGGCCAAGGCCACCAGCUCCGGACCCCCCAGCUCCAAGGUAAAGCCCUCUGGGGCGGCGGCGGCGGCGGGAGGUCCCUGAGCCCCGGGCAGCCGGGAGAUCUUCUGCCCAUCACCUCCUGGCCCGGGCCCCCUGUCCUCUGUGCGCACGUGUCUGGCCCUUCCCCUCUCUGCAGGUCUCCUCUGAAGCCUCUCUGCCCCCCUCUCUCUCCCAGCUGUCUCUGCGGGUCUCAGAGAUCUCUCUGCUCCCCCAUUCUCCGCUCCGCUCCCUCCCCGGCCCUCCUCCGGCUUCUCUCCCAGAUGAAGUCUCUCUCACCCCGCUUGGCUCUCUCCAGCCUUCCUCCUCUCCCCCCCAGCGCCAGCCAGCUCAUUCUUUCCUGCAAAGCAGGAGCCGUUACUCAUGUCACCUCCCUCCCUCCCUCCCUCCCUCCCAUUGGACUCCUCAGCUGGGGGGGGGGGGCAGACCCAGAGAGGGAAGGGAGAGGAAGCGGGUCCAGAGCGGCCCUCUGGGAGGACCCUGCGCCCAGGCUGGCAAUGGAGUGAAGGAAGAAGGGUCCGAAGAGGAGGGACAUUUGUGUUCUAGGCAAGUCCUUGCAUCAGGAGCUGCUGAACACACCCUAGGCUGGUUGCUUCCUGUUUUCUGGAGGGGAGCCGGGGGUGGGGUGACCGAGAUGGGGAUGACUCUCUGGGCUCAUCUCCCCACUUCCUCCGGGGUCUGAAGAAGGACUUCUGGGAGUCAAAAGCCACACCCACAGCUAGCCCCAGAGCCCCCCUCCGCACAGAUCUCAAUCCCAUCACCCCCUCCUACAGAUGUCGCCCCCAGGCCACUUCUGCUUCCUUUUCCUCCUCCUGGGCUGGGCCGUGCCUUCGAGGACCCAAGACUUAUCAGUGGAGACCCAUUUAGGUACAUCGAUGGCCCCACCAUUAAUGGAGAAGGACCAUUCAACCCCUGCUUCAAGCUCAGGCACAGCUCUAAGCCCAACCACCUCAGAGCACCAGCUGACUUCAGGGGAUCCUACCAAGUACAGCGCCGACACAGGCCAAACCCAGCCAGAGAAGAAGAUGGAAACUACUUCCGAGAUGCGUAACUUGGACCCUCCAACUGUGGGCAGCAGAACAAGAACUCCCAAGCCUUCAGCCUCUUCUGGGCACCAGGAGGCGGAGAAUCCCUUCCAAAGUGGUGAGUCUUCCAGAUUUGGGACCCUGGGCAGAGGAGUGGGAAGGCCAAACACAGGGCUCCUUCCCCUUCUGUAUCCUCCACCUGCACGUUUUGCUUUCACCCCUGACCACCCUCUCCUCUUCCUCUCUCAGAUGAAUAUACCCUCCGGAAGAGAGGUUUACUGGCAGCUGCUGUUCUCUUCAUCACAGGCAUCGUGAUUCUCACCAGUAUGGACUAGGGGAACCUGGGAGACUCUUGGGUCCCAGGACUGGGCUGGGGAGGGAUUCGCAGACCAUUUCAGCCCUUGGUUUACUGUGAGAUCUUGGGGUCGAGCCCUAUCCCACCUCUGCAGUGAGCUUUCCCCAUUUGUGACCCCCAGAUAUCGACUACCCCAUGAGUCUGAUUUCUUUUCCUGGUCUUACCCACUUCUUCCUCUCAGGUGAUCGGUGCCGCCAGUUUCGUUGGUGCAGAAGGCAACAAAGAAGGUGAGAUUAGGGCAACCAAGGUGGGAGGAGGACGGCUGGGAAGACCAAGGGAUGUGGGAGAUGAGAAGGAUGAGGUCUUUCCUCUCACGGCCUCCUCCCUUCAAAGUGCCUACAGGGUGGCCCAAGCCUGAGGCCCCAGCUCUAAUGAAGAGAUACCAGUGGAGCCAUGAUGGUGGAAGGACCCCAAGGCUCUGGCCGACUCUGAAGCUCAUGGAGCUCUGGGAAGAAAGUCCCACUGCUCACCCCUUUUACCUGGUUUCUCACUGCCAUGACGAUGCCUUUUUCAAGAUGGCACCAGCUCCUGUUUCUAGGUCUCCCUGGUCUCUGUUGCCACUCCCCCCCAGAUCCCAAGUUUCUCAGCCAAAUUCUCAAUAAACAUUUGCGGGACAAAUGAAUGGACGAGUGU